RNAcentral lists this ribosomal RNA (497 nucleotides) under uncultured bacterium. RNAcentral's name for it is "partial 16S ribosomal RNA". It matches the Rfam family "Bacterial small subunit ribosomal RNA", at positions 28 to 507 of the family's 1533-position model. The record is from RNAcentral.
GAUGAACGCUGGCGGCGUGCCUAAUACAUGCAAGUCGAGCGAACAGACGAGGAGCUUGCUCCUCUUACGUUAGCGGCGGACGGGUGAGUAACACGUGGAUAACCUACCUAUAAGACUGGGAUAACUUCGGGAAACCGGAGCUAAUACCGGAUAAUAUAUUGAACCGCAUGGUUCAAUAUUGAAAGACGGUUUUGCUGUCACUUAUAGAUGGAUCCGCGCCGCAUUAGCUAGUUGGUAAGGUAACGGCUUACCAAGGCGACGAUGCGUAGCCGACCUGAGAGGGUGAUCGGCCACACUGGAACUGAGACACGGUCCAGACUCCUACGGGAGGCAGCAGUAGGGAAUCUUCCGCAAUGGGCGAAAGCCUGACGGAGCAACGCCGCGUGAGUGAUGAAGGUCUUCGGAUCGUAAAACUCUGUUAUUAGGGAAGAACAAAUGUGUAAGUAACUAUGCACGUCUUGACGGUACCUAAUCAGAAAGCCACGGCUAACUACGUG